UACGUAGGGUGCGAGCGUUGUCCGGAAUUAUUGGGCGUAAAGAGCUUGUAGGCGGCUUGUCGCGUCUGCUGUGAAAAUACGGGGCUCAACCCCGGACUUGCAGUGGGUACGGGCAGACUAGAGUGUGGUAGGGGAGACUGGAAUUCCUGGUGUAGCGGUGAAAUGCGCAGAUAUCAGGAGGAACACCGAUGGCGAAGGCAGGUCUCUGGGCCACUACUGACGCUGAGAAGCGAAAGCAUGGGUAGCGAACAGGAUUAGA
This 259-nucleotide ribosomal RNA is filed under the name uncultured prokaryote. Its description in RNAcentral is "partial 16S ribosomal RNA". It matches the Rfam family "Bacterial small subunit ribosomal RNA", at positions 524 to 782 of the family's 1533-position model. The record is from RNAcentral.